This is a long non-coding RNA of Hipposideros armiger (great roundleaf bat), 1721 nucleotides long. RefSeq lists it as uncharacterized. The record is from RefSeq and is a predicted model, not a curated record. Lineage: Eukaryota; Metazoa; Chordata; Mammalia; Chiroptera; Hipposideridae. The transcript has 3 exons.
CUGUGCAGGGGAGGGGCGGGGCGGCGGCACUGAGGACAGGCUUUUUCCAGGGUCCUAAGGGGCUGGCAUGGGAGGACUGGGUGUGAGCAGAAAGAGCCCCCCCAACCACCACCCAGGAGCCCCAACGGAAAGGCUGCCGCGGGCCUGGAAGAACCCAGCAGGCCCUGCCUGAGGGUUAGGCUUGGGAACACAGAGAGCUUACAGUGGGAGCCACGUGCUGAUGGCUCCAAGUCCCAGACAACUGGUCAGCUUUGCCCAGCACUGGCUUUGCAGCCCGUGGGAAGCACGUGGCCCCAGCAUGCAGCCACCUGGGAGCAGCAAGGCCAAGCCAGAUUGGGGACCCCUGGGAGAGGAGGGGCAUGGGUGCUCGGACAAGGUGACGGGCAGCUUCCAUUGCACAGCUGAGGCAGGGGAGCCUCAGAGACACUGGGGGACACAGCUGGAGGGGGACACAUGUCCUGACCUACUCCCGAGCCCCCCACCCCUGCAACAGACAACCAUGAAAAAAGGAACUCGCCAGGUGACUCUAUCUUCCAGAGAAGGGCCAGCACAGCGGGGACACACGCCUUGACAUGUGGCAGACCGUGCAGUCCAGGAGGACCAGUCCAGGGUGGUCUAACAACUGGGGAGGGCAGUUCAGUUCCUGGGCUCCCACCCCGGGAGCUUGGCCAUGACACCACAGCCCACCCGAUGAGAUCUGAAGCAUGGCCAGGAGUCCAGGGCCCCGGGAGCGGGCCGGCGGCGGGGUCACAUGGCUGCCUGGCUGUCCUGCCCAACGUUUACUGCACGCAGGGGCAGGAGCAGCUGGGCUCUGCGGAUCACCUACUGCGUGCAGCUGUGCCGGCCCAGGAAGCCGCGGACGAAGGAGAAAGGCCGGCCCAGGCCUCGAAACUUCCACUGUCUGGAGCAACCCAUGAAAAGCAAUGGGAAACGCAAACAGAAGGUUUAAGAAUCUAAAAGCUGUCUCAAGAGGACAACCACGGCCACGGCUGCAAGCUGUGGCAUCGAGAUGCAGCUUCUGCGUGAGGCCACCAGGGCACUGUUGCCGACCCAAGACCCAGAGGCCACCCGAACCUCAGCCCGGGACAACCCCUCCCUGCACCAGAGAUGCAGCCCAGACGGGUGGCGACCCGACUUCACUGGGGCUCAACCUUGGCACCUGCCGGGUCUCCACGCCGCUGACCUUGGUGAGCCUGGGGAAGUCAAGGCCAUUGGUUCCUGGGGGUGGGGCUUAGUGAAACAAACAGCCUGCCGCAAAGUGGUCCCGCCCCCCUGCACCUGCCCCUUGCUGCCCGGGACCACGGACCAUGGUCACAGUCCAGCCUUAGGUUCAUUCUCACUCCCCUGAAAUGCCCUGAGUCGGCCGUGUAAUUUACCCAACUCCUCGCACCUGGGCCUUCCGGACACCCCGCCGCCAUAGGCGUCACGUUCCCUUUGCAUGCCAUGCCCUCCCCCAGGGCUGGCCAACUCGCAGGCGCUCUGACCCGGGCAGAAGCCAUCCAGCCCCAAUGUCCCAACGCAGGGCAGCACCACACAUUCUCUCCACCGGGGUCCCUUCGAGCCUUGCCAAGCCUCUGACAGGGCCCUUCUCCCCCGCUGACCCAUUAACUGGGGGCUCCCUGGGAGCAAACACCGUGCCUCGCUGCUCUCCGAAUCUCCCAACACAUGUUUACUCUUGGUGAUAUUCUACCUGUGUUUGUUGAUUAAACACAAAAAUGUAA